AAACCAUGAUGUGGGCAUUGAGACCAGUAGCUUAUUAACCUUUCCCAUGCUUCACUUAAACCUUCAAGAUUCUUCUAUUGAAAUCCAGAGAUCUCAUUCCUAAGCUU
This 107-nucleotide small nucleolar RNA is filed under the name Brassica carinata (Ethiopian mustard). RNAcentral's name for it is "Plant small nucleolar RNA R71". It matches the Rfam family "Plant small nucleolar RNA R71". Rfam says of the family: R71 is a member of the C/D box family of snoRNAs containing the C (UGAUGA) and D (CUGA) box motifs. Multiple nearly identical copies of this snoRNA have been identified in Arabidopsis, and it is thought to function as a 2'-O-ribose methylation guide for 18S ribosomal RNA. The record is from Rfam by way of RNAcentral. Lineage: Eukaryota; Viridiplantae; Streptophyta; Magnoliopsida; Brassicales; Brassicaceae. RNAcentral also lists the same sequence under 1 other name.